GCUAGUGUAGCAAAGCCUGGCAAAUGCAAAAGGCUUAAACCCUUUAAUUAGAGGUUCAAAUCCUCUCCCUAGCU
RNAcentral lists this transfer RNA (74 nucleotides) under Falco rusticolus (gyrfalcon). RNAcentral describes it as "tRNA-Leu". It matches the Rfam family "tRNA". From Rfam's summary of the family: Transfer RNA (tRNA) molecules are approximately 80 nucleotides in length. Their secondary structure includes four short double-helical elements and three loops (D, anti-codon, and T loops). The record is from RNAcentral. RNAcentral also lists the same sequence under 4 other names. Lineage: Eukaryota; Metazoa; Chordata; Aves; Falconiformes; Falconidae.